RNAcentral lists this long non-coding RNA (1217 nucleotides) under Homo sapiens (human). RNAcentral describes it as "non-protein coding lnc-EPB41L1-1:5". Lineage: Eukaryota; Metazoa; Chordata; Mammalia; Primates; Hominidae. The record is from RNAcentral.
AACUCUCUGCCCGGAGAGAGGCCCGACAGCUGCGACCCGACUGGUUCUGUCCGAGCCCGACGGGCCGCGCUGACCCAGCGACUGUGCCUGACUGACCACAGGUGCCGCCACCGCCUGAUAAUACGAGUGUGUCAGCUUCCGUCUGACUGAACGCAGGUUUCAUGGGUGCCUGACAGACCAAGACUGCUGGAUCUGUCAGCCUGGCCGCAGCUGGCUGACUGGCUGACUGGCUGGCUGGUUGACUGGCUGGCUGACUGGCUGCCUGGCUGGCUGGCUGGCUGGCUGCUCUUGCCCGGCCGCCAUCUGGGCCUGACGGGCUGCGUCUGACCGGGCGGCCUAUCUGCCUCUGCCUGACCAGCCUCCAUCUGUGCUUGGCGAGCUGUGUGACCGGCCGCGACGGUCUGUGUCUGACUGAGCACAAGGUUCCUAGCGGCCGAUCAGCUGCUUGACCCCAUCUCUGCUGAGCCGGCCGACACCGACGGAUUGACUCUGGCAACGCCUGGCCCGAGUGGCGCUACCGGCUUCCAGAGACUUCCUGACCCCUGCCGAGGUUGCACCGCUCAGCGCUGCCCUGUGAGGCGCUGACUGUGGCCGCAGCUGAGUGCGGCUGCCCCUUCACAGACAGGGCGUGCAGAAUGACGGUCGCCUGGCUGUCCCUCCCUAGGCGCCCCUGGCUAGCUCGGCUUGCCUGGCAGCGUCUGUGUCUGAGGGACGUGUUGGUGGCCGCCGCUGGCCGCAUCUGUCCCCCUGCAGGGAGGAGACUGUGCACAAUCAUGGAGGGCAGUGGCAAGUCUGGUGGAGAGGGAAGGAGGUCAGGAAAUAAACGAGAGAGGAAAAUUAAGAGGUAAGGAUGUGAUAGAGGGAAGUAUUGAAAGAAAGCUCAGGGAGAGUGAAAAGGAAGGAAAAGGGGAGAGAGAGGAGGUAAAAGUGAAGGAAAGAGGUUGAGUGCAGUGGUUAUUCCUGUAAUCCCAGUACUUUGGGAGGCUGAGGCAGGUGGAUGACUUGAGGCCAGGAGUUCAAGACCAGCCAGGGCAACAUGACAAAACCCCAUCUCUACAAAAAUACAAAAAUUAGCGGGACAUGGUGGUGUAUGCCUGUAGUCCCAGCUACUAGGGAGGCUGAGGUGGGAGGAUCACUUGAGCCCAGGAGGUCGAGGCUGCAGUGAGCCAUGAUGGCACCAUUGCACUCUAGCCUGGGUGACAAAGUGAGAUCCUGUC